AGAAUCAACGCUGGCGGCGUGCCUAACACAUGCAAGUCGAACGAGAAAGUGGAGCAAUCCAUGAGUAAAGUGGCGCACGGGUGAGUAACACGUGACUAACCUACCCUGGAGUGGGGGAUAACUGAGGGAAACCUUAGCUAAUACCGCAUAAUACCUACGGGUCAAAGGAGCAAUUCGCUUCAGGAGGGGGUCGCGGCCGAUUAGUUAGUUGGCGGGGUAAUGGCCCACCAAGACAGUGAUCGGUAUCCGGCCUGAGAGGGCGCACGGACACACUGGAACUGAAACACGGUCCAGACUCCUACGGGAGGCAGCAGUGGGAAUUUUACGCAAUGGGGGAAACCCUGACGCAGCAACGCCGCGUGGAGGAUGAAGUCCUUCGGGACGUAAACUCCUUUCGAUCGGGACGAUUAUGACGGUACCGGAAGAAGAAGCCCCGGCUAACUACGCGCCAGCAGCCGC
Molecule: ribosomal RNA, 459 nt
Filed under: uncultured bacterium
Lineage: Bacteria
Description: SSU rRNA
Rfam family: Bacterial small subunit ribosomal RNA
Source: RNAcentral